CACGCCGUCGCUUCUUCCUCUCCCUCUCCACUGCUCUUCUCUUCUCUUCUUCUUGCUUCUUCUCCUUUUCUGAAUCUCCGAUCGACGCCCACGCCCACGCCCACUCGCCCAGUGCCACGUCCACACCGACGACGCCCAGUGCCCACGUGAAAGUUUCUCUCGCAGCGCAGCUACGUUUCAUUGGACAACUAGCCUAGUUCGUCUACCACAUUUGCUGCAAGUAUUUUCUGGUAGAAGUUCGACCUCGAAGUUGAUGGCAAAUCCAGGUAAGGGGACACAACUUUAAAACUCGGCGAAAUUUUUAAAUAAAAUCUUUUCAAGAGUAAAACGUCGAGAAUUUUCAAAGGACUCUUUCACUUUAAUAUUACUUGUUAUUUUUUUUUUCUUCAAUUAUAAUGAUUCUUUUAUGAAAUGUAAUUGAACCUCCUUAUGAU
This is a long non-coding RNA of Alnus glutinosa, 434 nucleotides long. RefSeq lists it as uncharacterized. Lineage: Eukaryota; Viridiplantae; Streptophyta; Magnoliopsida; Fagales; Betulaceae. The transcript has 3 exons. The record is from RefSeq and is a predicted model, not a curated record.